This 449-nucleotide ribosomal RNA is filed under the name uncultured bacterium. RNAcentral's name for it is "bacterial SSU rRNA". It matches the Rfam family "Bacterial small subunit ribosomal RNA", at positions 29 to 524 of the family's 1533-position model. The record is from RNAcentral.
AACGAACGCUGGCGGCAGGCUUAACACAUGCAAGUCGAACGGAUCCUUCGGGAUCAGUGGCGGACGGGUGAGUAACGCGUGGGAACCUACCCUGGGGUGGGGAAUAACCUUGGGAAACCGAGGCUAAUACCGCAUACGCCCUAUUGGGGAAAGACUAUGUUGCCCUGGGAUGGGCCCGCGUCCGAUUAGCUAGUUGGUGGGGUAAUGGCCUACCAAGGCUGCGAUCGGUAGCUGGUCUGAGAGGAUGAUCAGCCACACUGGGACUGAGACACGGCCCAGACUCCUACGGGAGGCAGCAGUGGGAAUAUUGGACAAUGGGGGCAACCCUGAUCCAGCCAUGCCGCGUGAGUGAAGAAGGCCUUAGGGUAGUAAAGCUCUUUCACCCGUGACGAUGAUGACGGUAGCGGGAGAAGAAGCCCCGGCUAAUUCCGUGCCAGCAGCCGCGUAAU